CCCCUGGAGGACUAGUGGUUAGGCCACAGCAUUCUCACCGCUGUGGCAUGGGUUUGAUUCCUGGCCAAGGAA
Molecule: non-coding RNA, 72 nt
Organism: Pangasianodon gigas (Mekong giant catfish)
Lineage: Eukaryota; Metazoa; Chordata; Actinopteri; Siluriformes; Pangasiidae
Source: the annotation of a GenBank genome assembly